GAGACGGAGUAGAGGUAACCCCUGAAUAUGAGAGAGUCAGAGAGACAGAGUAGAGGUAACACCUGAAUAUGAGAGAGUCAGAGAGACAGAGUAGAGGUAACCCCUGAAUAUGAGAGAGUCAGAGAGACAGGGUAGAGGUAACACCUGAAUA
This is a long non-coding RNA of Oncorhynchus keta (chum salmon), 151 nucleotides long. RefSeq lists it as uncharacterized. The transcript has 3 exons. The record is from RefSeq and is a predicted model, not a curated record. NCBI's taxonomy places the organism in Eukaryota, Metazoa, Chordata, Actinopteri, Salmoniformes, Salmonidae.